ACGCUACGUUCAGAGUUUGAUCCUGGCUCAGGAUGAACGCUAGCUACAGGCUUAACACACGCAAGUCGAGGGGCAGCAUGGGCUUAGCUUGCUAAGCCCGAUGACGACCGGCGCACGGGUGAGUAACACGUAUCCAACCUUCCGGUUACUCGGGGAUAGGCUUUCGAAAGAAAGAUUAAUACCCGAUGUUGUGUAUCUUUCUCCUGAAAGAUACGCCAAAGGAUUCCGGUAACCGAUGGGGAUGCGUUCCAUUAGGCAGUUGGCGGGGUAACGGCCCACCAAACCUUCGAUGGAUAGGGGUUCUGAGAGGAAGGUCCCCCACAUUGGAACUGAGACACGGUCCAA
RNAcentral lists this ribosomal RNA (345 nucleotides) under uncultured bacterium. Its description in RNAcentral is "bacterial SSU rRNA". It matches the Rfam family "Bacterial small subunit ribosomal RNA", at positions 1 to 334 of the family's 1533-position model. The record is from RNAcentral.